Cucumis melo (muskmelon) is the source of this 224-nucleotide long non-coding RNA. RefSeq lists it as uncharacterized. The record is from RefSeq and is a predicted model, not a curated record. Lineage: Eukaryota; Viridiplantae; Streptophyta; Magnoliopsida; Cucurbitales; Cucurbitaceae. The transcript is spliced from 3 exons.
UUUCAGGGGUUAAAGUGUUACUCACACACUUUUUGAAAACUUUUGGUUGGUUGAGAAUCAAAAAACUGCCACAUCAGAAAUAAGAGGCUUCAGGCCAAAAAGGUUCCCCAGAGACUCCGUGACAUAAAGGAUGUUUUAGAUUGAUACAAGAAAACCAUACUCACAGGCCGAGUUAGAUGAGGUGCGGGUUGAGUUGGUUGAGUUUUUGGGUUCGUACAUAUGAU